UUUGAUAGUCGCUGCAAUAAAAUUGUAGAGGAAAGUCCAUGCUUGCAUAGACUGAGAUGUCUAUAGUGAUUGUGCCAAAGGAAAAAAUAACUUUGGGCUGCUAUUUAUAGUAGACGGCGAGAGUGAACCUAAGUGAAAAUAUGGGGAUGUCUCAUAACGUGCCACAGUGACGAAUUUAUUAGAAAUAAUAAGGUGAAACGCGGUAAACCCCUCAAGCAAGAAACUCAAAAUUGGUGGAGGAACUUCAAGACGAGAAAUGAAUCGUUUAGAAGAUGCACUUGCAUAGAUAAAUGACUAUCGCUACGAAAGUAGAACAGAACAUGGCUUAUAA
RNAcentral lists this RNase P RNA (331 nucleotides) under human gut metagenome. Its description in RNAcentral is "Bacterial RNase P class B". It matches the Rfam family "Bacterial RNase P class B". Rfam says of the family: Ribonuclease P (RNase P) is a ubiquitous endoribonuclease, found in archaea, bacteria and eukarya as well as chloroplasts and mitochondria. RNAcentral also lists the same sequence under 1 other name. The record is from RNAcentral.